UCCUCCCUUCAGUUCCAAAAU
RNAcentral lists this non-coding RNA (21 nucleotides) under Caenorhabditis elegans. The record is from RNAcentral. Lineage: Eukaryota; Metazoa; Nematoda; Chromadorea; Rhabditida; Rhabditidae.